RNAcentral lists this ribosomal RNA (206 nucleotides) under uncultured bacterium. RNAcentral's name for it is "partial 16S ribosomal RNA". It matches the Rfam family "Bacterial small subunit ribosomal RNA", at positions 568 to 774 of the family's 1533-position model. The record is from RNAcentral.
CGUGUAGGCGGAGCAGCAAGUCAGAAGUGAAAUCUCUGGGCUCAACCCAGAAACUGCUUUUGAAACUGUUGCCCUUGAGUAUCGGAGAGGCAGGUGGAAUUCCUAGUGUAGCGGUGAAAUGCGUAGAUAUUAGGAAGAACACCAGUGGCGAAGGCGGCUUACUGGACAGUAACUGACGUUGAGGCUCGAAAGCGUGGGAGCAAACA